This 422-nucleotide ribosomal RNA is filed under the name uncultured eukaryote. Its description in RNAcentral is "SSU rRNA". It matches the Rfam family "Eukaryotic small subunit ribosomal RNA", at positions 592 to 1018 of the family's 1831-position model. The record is from RNAcentral.
CAAUAGCGUAUAUUAAAGUUGUUGCGGUUAAAAAGCUCGUAGUUGGAUUUCUGCCGAGGACGACCGGUCCGCCCUCUGGGUGAGCAUCUGGAUCGGCCUGGGCAUCCUCUUGGGGAACGUAGCUGCACUUGACUGUGUGGUGCGGUAUCCAGGACUUUUACUUUGAGGAAAUUAGAGUGUUUCAAGCAGGCACACGCCUUGAAUACAUUAGCAUGGAAUAAUAAGAUAGGACCUUGGUUCUAUUUUGUUGGUUUCUAGAGCUGAGGUAAUGAUUAAUAGGGAUAGUUGGGGGCAUUCGUAUUACGGUGUUAGAGGUGAAAUUCUUGGAUCGCCGUAAGACGAACUACUGCGAAAGCAUUUGCCAAGAAUGUUUUCAUUAAUCAAGAACGAAAGUCAGAGGUUCGAAGAUGAUCAGAUACCAU